This 311-nucleotide ribosomal RNA is filed under the name uncultured Leptolinea sp. Its description in RNAcentral is "bacterial SSU rRNA". It matches the Rfam family "Bacterial small subunit ribosomal RNA", at positions 1058 to 1382 of the family's 1533-position model. The record is from RNAcentral. Lineage: Bacteria; Bacillati; Chloroflexota; Anaerolineae; Anaerolineales; Anaerolineaceae.
GCUCGUGUCGUGAGAUGUUCGGUUAAGUCCGCUAACGAGCGCAACCCUCGCUGUGUGUUAUAUGUGUCACACGGGACUGCCGGUCGUUAAGCCGGAGGAAGGUGGGGAUGAUGUCAAGUCAGCAUGGCCUUUAUAUCCUGGGCUACACACACGCUACAAUGGCCAACACAAUAGGUUGCUAAGCCGCGAGGUGGCGCCAAUCCAUAAAGUUGGUCUCAGUUCAGAUUGUAGGCUGCAACCCGCCUGCAUGAAGAUGGAGUUGCUAGUAACCGCAGGCCAGCUAUACUGCGGUGAAUACGUUCCCCGGGCUU